This 443-nucleotide ribosomal RNA is filed under the name uncultured bacterium. RNAcentral describes it as "bacterial SSU rRNA". It matches the Rfam family "Bacterial small subunit ribosomal RNA", at positions 335 to 795 of the family's 1533-position model. The record is from RNAcentral.
ACUCCUACGGGAGGCAGCAGUGGGGAAUAUUGCACAAUGGGGGAAACCCUGAUGCAGCGACGCCGCGUGAGUGAAGAAGUAUUUCGGUAUGUAAAGCUCUAUCAGCAGGGAAGAUAAUGACGGUACCUGACUAAGAAGCCCCGGCUAACUACGUGCCAGCAGCCGCGGUAAUACGUAGGGGGCAAGCGUUAUCCGGAUUUACUGGGUGUAAAGGGAGCGUAGGUGGCAAGUCAAGUCAGAUGUGAAAGCCCGGGGCUCAACUCCGGGAUUGCAUUUGAAACUGGUUUGCUAGAGUGCAGGAGAGGUAAGUGGAAUUCCUAGUGUAGCGGUGAAAUGCGUAGAUAUUAGGAGGAACACCAGUGGCGAAGGCGGCUUACUGGACUGUAACUGACACUGAGGCUCGAAAGCGUGGGGAGCAAACAGGAUUAGAUACCCUGGUAGUC